This 433-nucleotide ribosomal RNA is filed under the name uncultured bacterium. RNAcentral's name for it is "partial 16S ribosomal RNA". It matches the Rfam family "Bacterial small subunit ribosomal RNA", at positions 29 to 507 of the family's 1533-position model. The record is from RNAcentral.
AACGAACGCUGGCGGCAGGCCUAACACAUGCCAGUCGAGCGAGAUCUUCGGGUCUAGCGGCGGACGGGUGAGUAACGCGUGGGAAUAUGCCUCUUGGUACGGAAUAGCCUCGGGAAACUGGGAGUAAUACCGUAUGUGCCCUUUGGGGGAAAGAUUUAUCGCCAAGAGAUUAGCCCGCGUUGGAUUAGGUAGUUGGUGGGGUAAUGGCCUACCAAGCCGACGAUCCAUAGCUGGUUUGAGAGGAUGAUCAGCCACACUGGGACUGAGACACGGCCCAGACUCCUAUGGGAGGCAGCAGUGGGGAAUCUUAGACAAUGGGGGCAACCCUGAUCUAGCCAUGCCGCGUGAGUGAUGAAGGCCUUAGGGUUGUAAAGCUCUUUCAGCUGGGAAGAUAAUGACGGUACCAGCAGAAGAAGCCCCGGCUAACUCCGUG